Amblyraja radiata (thorny skate) is the source of this 7749-nucleotide RNA transcript. It is a transcript of the gene named phosphatidylinositol transfer protein, membrane-associated 2, with no coding region annotated. The record is from RefSeq and is a predicted model, not a curated record. Lineage: Eukaryota; Metazoa; Chordata; Chondrichthyes; Rajiformes; Rajidae. The transcript is spliced from 28 exons.
UGCCUGGAGUGGAGCGGAGCGGGGCGACGGUGCGGAGAGGAGCGGUGCGCCUCGCCUCGCAGCCUGGCCACGGCUCUCUCCCCCCCCCCCUCACCUCACCGCCCAUCCCGGGCACCGUGCGAUGCGGACCAGUUUGGUGACAGGGCCACCAUGACAGCGGCGGCUUGCCAAGGUGAGUCGUGCCGCAGACACAGCGGCGGGGCGGCUCCGGUAGAUGAGCCAAUGACUGUAUACACAAGGGAGCUGUCGUGACGUUGACAAGUUAGUGAUGCCGCUCUGACCUCUUCCUGUGUCUCGAAACAGAAUGAAAGUUGUUUCCAACUAGGGUGUGUUUAAUGAAUCAAAACCAAGGGAGUGCUGGCAGUCACUGGAUUAUUUUUUAACUGUGAAAAGACUUUCCAUCAGGCAAAAUGCUCAUAAAGGAAUACCACAUCCCUCUUCCCAUGAGCGUCGAGGAGUAUCGUAUUGCACAACUGUACAUGAUUCAGAAAAAGAGCAGAGAUGAGACUUGUGGAGAAGGCAGUGGAGUGGAGAUCCGUGAGAACAGGCCCUAUAACGAUGGACCCGGGGGUUCUGGCCAGUACACUCGCAAAGUCUACCAUAUUGGCAUGCAUAUACCCAGCUGGUUCCGAUCUAUUUUACCUAAAGCUGCAUUGCGUGUGGAAGAGGAGUCAUGGAAUGCCUAUCCCUAUACCAGAACAAGGUAUACCUGUCCCUUUGUAGAGAAGUUCUCCAUUGACAUUGAAACAUAUUAUAAACCUGAUUCAGGAGAUCAGGCAAAUGUAUUUAAUCUCUCCUCUGCUGAGAAAAGGCAACGAAUGCUUGAUCCCAUUGACAUUGUCAAAGACCCUUUUCCUCCUAAUGAAUACAAAACAGAGGAGGAUCCUAAACUGUACAAGUCGAUCAAGACAGGAAGGGGCCCCCUAACAGACAAUUGGAUAGAAGAGUGCAAGAAGAAGCCUGGACAAAUGCCAAUCAUGUGUGCGUAUAAACUCUGCAAAGUGGAGUUUCGAUAUUGGGGAAUGCAAUCCAAAAUAGAACGCUUCAUUCAUGAUGUAGGCCUGAGGAAAGUGAUGCUACGAGCUCACCGACAAGCAUGGUGCUGGCAGGACGAGUGGUAUGGCCUUACCAUCGAGGACAUCCGGCAGCUGGAGCAUGAAACACAGCUCAUGCUGGCCCAGAAGAUGGCCCAGUUUGUGGCAGAGUUAAACGACAACGAAGCUGAACAGCCAGGCCUGACCCAAACCUCCAUUGAGAGAGAUCAGAACUCCAUCAGUGCCAAUCCCAGCAUCAACAUAGAAUCCAGCAGUACCAAUCUAAAUGAGUACACGGACUCAUUAACAGAACGAGCAUUGACUAAACAAUGGUCCACAUCGUCCAAAUCAUCACAUUCAUCAAUAAGAGGAGCAAGCCCUUCGCGACACAAUAUUGCAGACUGGCGAAUGCAGAGUAUUGCUCGAGACUCUGAUGACAGCUCAGAUGAUGAAUUCUUCGAUGCACAAGAAGACUUUUCAGACAAUGAGGAAAACUUCCCUCAAGAAAUCACAAAAUGGAAUUCAAAUGAUCUUAUUGAUAAAAUAGAUGCCUGUGGUGAAGCUGAGGAGGGCCAGUGUGACUUGUACCAAGGCCAAUUGAGAGACUAUGUUCCGUCCACUGCAGAGCAGUUGAAUCCCAUUGAGGAUGAAGCAUCUUUGCACAUCGUACAGUCUUGCAAGAUUCACAUGCUUGUGCUCAUUCUACAUGGUGGCAACAUCCUGGACCCUGGCAGUGGAGACCUGACGUCCAAACAGGCCGAUGUCAACACCAUCACCUCGGUCUUUGAGACGGUGAUGAGGGUGCACUUCCCUGCCGGCCUGGGCCACAUUGCCGUGAAGCUGGUUCCCUGCCCGGCCAUCUGCUCGGAAGCCUUUUCACUGGUGUCCAACCUCAAUCCCAUAAGCUAUGACGAAAGCUGUUUAUCAAACAGCCAGGACCACAUUCCACUGGCGGCACUUCCUCUGUUGGCAACAGCGUCGCCCCAGUAUCAGGAUGCAGUGGCCACAGUUAUCUGCAGAGCAAAUCAGGUCUACAGCGAUUUCAUCAAAUCCCAGGAAGGAAUCUCCUUCAAUGGCCAGGUGUGUUUGAUUGGAGACUGUGUUGGGGGAAUCCUGGGCUUCGAUGCCCUGUGUUUCAGCAACCAGACCGUCUCUGAGAGCCAGAACAGUAGCCGGAGAGGCAGUGUGCUGAGUGUGCAGGACAAUGAUCUAUUAUCUCCUGGAAUUGUUGUGAACACCAGCACUGGUUCUAACCUGGAGGCCAGUCGGCAUCUGAGCAGAAGCAGCAGUGACAUUCCACGAAGCAGUGUGGAUAAUCCAAGCAGGCAGCUGCCCCGAAAGAGGAGUGAUUCGUCCACAUAUGAACUCGAUACAAUUAAACAUCAUCAGGCGUUUCUCACCAGCUUGCAGUCGGGUGUUGUGCGGACUGAUUCUGGGUCCAGGCGAUCGAGUGGUUCCACCAUGCUGGAAGGAGUGAGUCCCGGAAGGUUUGAGUUUGAAGUGACUGACUUAUUUCUGUUUGGUUCCCCAUUGGGGCUGGUGCUGGCGCUGAGGAAGACCGUUCUCCCCAACCUGGAUGUGUCGCAGCUGAGACCAGCGUGUCAGCAGGUGUACAACCUGUUCCACCCAGCCGACCCUUCGUCUUCUCGCUUGGAGCCGCUUCUGGAGAUGAAGUUCCACCUGUUGCCGCCGUUUAACGUUCCCCGCUACCAGCGGUUCCCGCUGGGCGACGGCAGCUCGGCUCUUCUGGUUGAGACAAUCCAGAGCAAUCCCAUCCUCAUCCUGGAACCUCCAUUUGUGACUGUCCAACGACAGGAGAGUGUAAUGGAAACCAGUAUUCCUGUUCCUGUCCUUAACUGGCAAGAUGCUUCCAGUCGGAAUCCAACUGUUGCAGAGUCGGACAUUGUCCAGACUCACCCUGCUCUCUUCAUGGAAGGUUCGUCCCCUUCCUCUCCCUCCACAGCGCCUAUAUUCCGGGGCUUCCGCAGAGCUAGUGAGGCCAGCAUUGCCAGCCAAGUUUCAGGGAUGGCUGACAGCUACCCGGCUUCCAACAUCGCCAACAAGAAAAAAUAUGAGUCAAUCCCUCACAAAAAGUUGGGUUUCUUGUCCAAACUUAUCCCCUACAACAAAGCCCUUCCAAAAUUCAUUUACCCUCAGCGCUAUAAACAGUCCAAAGCAAUGCUGUCACAGAACAAGCAAAGGCUGAGACAGAAUGUUGUGAAACCGAUUGGAGCAAAGCUGAGAGGGUACGAGACGGAUCUCCACACAGUUGCGUCCAGGUGGUGGGGGACUAAGAGAGUUGACUACGCUCUCUACUGCCCAGACGCUCUGACAGCCUUCCCAACGAUAGCCCUGCCCCACCUCUUCCAUGCCAGCUACUGGGAGUCAAGCGAUGUGGUGUCCUUCCUGCUGCGACAGAUCAUGAGACAUGAAAAUGAAAGUAUUCUGGAACUGGACGGGAAGGAGGUUUCAGUGUUCAGUCCUUCAAAACCACGAGAGAAGUGGCUUCGCAAGAGGACGCAUGUUAAGAUAAGGAAUGUUACAGCAAACCAUCGAGUGAACGAUGUGAUCGUCACUGAGGACGGUCCUCAGACACUGAUGGGCAGAUUCAUGUAUGGGCCGCUCGAUAUGGUCACACUGACUGGCGAGAAGGUGGAUAUACACAUUAUGACUCAGCCUCCCACAGGAAAGUGGGUGUACUUUGACACCGACAUUACAAACAGCAGCGGCAGGAUUUCCUACGUUAUUCCAGAUGGCAAAAGACUGGGGAUCGGUGUCUAUCCAGUAAAAAUGGUCAUUAGAGGGGACCAUACGUCAGGGGACAGCUACAUCACGGUGCUUCCAAAGGGAACGGAGGGUGUCGUCUUCAGCAUUGAUGGAUCAUUCGCAGCCAGUGUUUCCAUUAUGGGGAGUGACCCCAAGGUGCGAGCUGGGGCAGUCGAUGUUGUACGACACUGGCAGGAUCUCGGCUACUUCAUCGUCUAUGUGACGGGACGUCCCGACAUGCAGAAGCAGAGAGUGGUGGCGUGGCUGGCCCAGCACAACUUCCCCCACGGAAUCGUGUCCUUCUGCGACGGGCUGGUUCAUGACCCUCUCCGGCAUAAGGCCAACUUCCUGCGCAGCCUAGUGCACGACGUGUCGAUGAAAGUUCAUGCAGCCUACGGCUCCACAAAGGAUAUCUCCGUGUACGCUUCCUUGGGCUUAUCAGCGUCACAAAUCUUCAUUGUCGGCCGUUCAACCAAGAAGUACCAACAUCAGUGCCAGUUUUUGACAGAUGGAUAUGCAGCACAUUUAUCACAACUGGAGUAUACGCAACGAUCCCGUCCUGCUAAGAGCAGUUCCAGAAUGGUGCUGCGAAAGGGGAGCUUUGGUCUACCCUCACAGCCGGACUUCCUGAGGAAAAGGAACCACUUGCUGCGCACCAUCUCCAGCCAGCAAGCAGCAUCCACUUCCAACAAGCCUGAGCGGACAUACAGUCAGUCUGAAGGUGAGCAGGAUCGAGAUAAGGAACGUGGGCACCGGAGCAUGAGUAUCACUGCCAGCUGCUGGGGUCGGCCUGGCACCUCCAGGCUGGAAUCUGGUGUUUAAUGAAAGCACUGGAGGUGGGGGUCGGUGCUGGGAUGGUAGCCUGCAGGUGAAUGGUACCAUGGUGCUAACAAAGUGAAUCGGACUGAAGACAUGAACUCUCAGCCUUAACAAUUCAGUGUUGCAUUGUGGGACACUAGCUUGUUACCCUUUGUUAUAGAGAUACAGCUUCAACUUUUAAAGCCUGCUUCAUUCGGCACCUUUUCUAUCGAUGUUUGUAAAUACCCAUACCUUGUGUCAAAGUCAGUGUCACCGAACCACACAUCUCUCUCUCAAAGUCUGCUUGCAAUCCAGCAGGAAAGUGGUAUCACAUUAGCUGUUCAUUUUCAUAUGGUUUGGCUUUAGUAACUCAAUGCUGAAAAUCCUUCUUCAACGUGAUUAACUAUAUUCACAGAGUAAUCCUCUUGUGUGCAGACUGUAAGGUUUAAUCCAAAGCUGCUCAUUCAAGUAUCUGAUAUUGGAGCUUGGUAUUGUACCAAUGAAAGUUUAAAAUGGAACUUGCUUCUUUGACUCCCUAGAAAGUAAUUUAGGAGUACUGCCAAAGGAAUAGACAGUAUCUCUUUUUGAUGAAUUAUAUAAAGGUCAAUAUAAAUUUGAGGUUGUAUCAAAUGCAAUAAAUGAAGUGUUUGUUGAUAUUUCAGUCACAUUCAGUGAAGCAAAAUAAAGAAAAGUGCAAUGAGAAAACCAAUACUGGCUUUAAAGUGUACCUAGUUAGAUCAGUACACAUGUGUACCUAGUUCAGUACACAGUAAAGUCUACCUAGUUAGAUCAGUACACACCGUCUCGGGGGCUAACAAGCAGGUAGACACAAAGAAUUUGCUGUUGAACAAAGAUGCUAAACUGCCAAUACUUAAGUAGCUUUGUUUUACAGUUUCCUUCUCCUUAAAUUAGAUUUUGUACCAUAUUGGAGUAUAUUUCACUCCUCGCCCUGGUGUUUUGGUUUUAUUACAGAACUGCCCAGAGAUGCCAGAGCUAUAUGUGCAUGUGUAAUAAAGGGUAAACAUCACCCCAGAAUGAAAUGACAUGACUCAGUCUGACAACUUUAGAACAGAGAAAGGAGCCGCUGAAUAUUUCUCAAACUAAAAUGCAUCCUGAUCCUCAGGUGUUAGAAAGAGAAAACCCCCAGUCACUGAGGAAUGAUCUCGUCUGAUCCCAGUUCCAUUUGUUGUCAAGCUUGCUUCCUUCUCUAGUUAGUGUCGUUGCCCACUUGCUCCUGCCCCCAACCUAAGCUGCCUUUGCUCAUUGUAAACAGUCAGGAUAGCACGCGUUAUGGUGGAGUACUAAACCCUGUACUCCAGCAUACUGCUGUUCCUACUCACAAUAACAGCACAUGAUCUGUUUUCAUCUAAUACUGAAUAUUGAACCAAAAUUCUGGUGAUGCUGGAAAACAAAGCACAUUGGAGCGAAUUAGCAGGUCAAGCAGUGACUAGAGAGAGAGAGAGAAGCAGAGUGAACAUGUGCGACGAGCAUCCACGGGCGUGGGGGACGGUUUAGUGUUUCAGGAUUUAUUUCAAAAUGUUAUCUGUUGUGCUUUCUUACACUGAAGGACAUGCCUGCUUAUUUGGUUACUAUUAAGCACAGGUUCGCAAGCUAGUUCAAUCUAAAUGGCUAAAUUAGGGGAAUAUAUCAAGUGAAGUUUUUACUCUUUCAAAUGACAAACUCAACAUCUAAGAAAGUGAAAGUAACGAAUCUGCUCUGCAGAAGAAAGUUGAUAUUCUGUAAUAAAUAUUGUGUGUAAAUACAUGUAAAUGCAGAUCUAAAUAAGGGGAGAUAUUUAUUUGUGUAGAUAAACUGCAGGAGAUGGCAAAUUUAUUAAUAUUUAAAAUAUAGAGUUUUGCUUUGAAUGGUAUAUAAGAUUAUUUUAUGGACCAAUAAUAAUUUAGCUGUUCAUUGCAUAAUUGCAAUAUACAACUACUAUUCAUAAUCAUGGUGAUCAUAGCAUUGACAAUCAAUGUCGUGUGUACUGGGCUGGAUGUGACGUUUCGGUGAGCCGAGCCUAAAGCUGCAUCUUCUUCCCCAGCCGAGGGAGAGAUGAUGAAAUGACAGUUCCACUCAUUGGGGAAGCCUGGACUGUGUGUGAUACCAAUGUCACUUGUGCCCAACCCGACACAGCCUCUUAACCAGCGAGGACUAGGAUUACCAAGCGCCACAAGUGAUGUGUGCUCACAGUGCACUCUUGUACUGGCAGGUGGGCAAGGCCAGGACACUGUGGACCACCUGCUGCACACACAGCCCUGGUACAAUCAGGUAAUCACUGCUCAUUCUCAAUCUCACUACCAAUAUAGCUAACGUUUAUACAAGAUUCUCUGAAUUAAUUCCAAAUCGUUAAACUUUACCCCUUGCUAUUUUAUUUAAAGACCCUGUUGUUAAUGCCAAAGGUGAUUCAGUAUUUGCUGGAAAACUGGAGUUAACCUGCAGCAUUUAACACAGACUUUACCUCAGCUGGUUUUCAUACACUAAAGAAGCAGACUGUGGUUAGGCUCUGCACAGCACUGCUGCAGAAUGCAGGAGAUGAUAGUUUUGCCUGUUAGCUCCUGAAUGACAAUGACAUCCAAUCCCAAGCAGUUUACAGUGUUGCAAGCUUCCAACUCACCAAAGGGCCACAGGUAAAGACAGCCACACCUUGACACUGGAGCACCUGGUGGACAGGUAAACACAGCCACACCUUGACACUGGAGCAUCUGGUGGUCUUGUUGCUUUAAGGCAACACCACUUGCUGCAUUAAGUAUUACCUGCUGAAUCCUUCCAUUUUCUGUGCAAAUUGCACAGAUAAAUUGAUAACUUUGACAGUAAUUUUUUUAUUCAGAAGUGUUUGUUAUAUUUUAUUUAUAGAAAUGUUACAUAUGGAAUUAUUAAAUAUUGCAAAUGCCAAAUGUGUACAAUUUGCUAGACUUGUUAAAUGAUGCACACCUCAAAUGAAUUCAAUACUGUAUUAGAUUUACUAUACUGCCCCAGGUCUCCCUUCUUUAGUUUUAGUUCAGACUGUGUCGAGAGGUGUGAGACCUGUCCAUUGUAUGUAACACGCCAUGGUGGUACAGACUGCUGCCGCUGCCUGUUGUGUGUGUUAUUGUGCCUCGUGAGCUUUGUGCAUAAUUGUACGUUAUAUCAAUUAAACAAAAAUGGGACAUUA